AGGACGAACGCUGGCGGCGUGCCUAAUACAUGCAAGUCGAACGGUCUUUCUAUGGAAGCUUGCUUCCACUGAGAAGAUAGUGGCGAACGGGUGAGUAACACGUGGGUAACCUGCCCAUAAGAGGGGGGAUAACAUCCGGAAACGGGUGCUAAUACCGCAUAGUUUUCUUGAUCGCAUGAUCGGGAAAGGAAAGACGGCCUUCGUGCUGUCGCUUAUGGAUGGACCCGCGGCGUAUUAGUUAGUUGGUGAGGUAAUGGCUCACCAAGACGAUGAUACGUAGCCGACCUGAGAGGGUGAUCGGCCACAUUGGGACUGAGACACGGCCCAAACUCCUACGGGAGGCAGCAGUAGGGAAUCUUCCGCAAUGGACGAAAGUCUGACGGAGCAACGCCGCGUGAGUGAAAGAAGGUUUUCGGAUCGUAAAACUCUGUUGUCAGAGAAGAACAAGUUGGAGAGUAACUGCUCCAGCCUUGACGGUAUCUGACCAGAAAGCCACGGCUAACUACGUGCCAGCCGCCGC
Molecule: ribosomal RNA, 520 nt
Filed under: uncultured bacterium
Lineage: Bacteria
Description: bacterial SSU rRNA
Rfam family: Bacterial small subunit ribosomal RNA
Source: RNAcentral